AUGAGUCAUCUCACUGACUCUUGUGAGCCCAGAGAGAUCCAAUGCAGGGUGCCUCACUCCAUGCUCAAGUCACAGAUGUACCCGCCUUCAUCUGACUGAUACAGGCUAGAGCCAAUAUUCAAGGCCUGGUCAUUUUCCUCGCAAGGUGCCCAUUUCCUCUCAUGCCGUGCUUCCCUAACAGGAGGCUCCAGAGAGGCACCAACAGGACACCUGGGCUUCUUGCUGAUUAAUCUCGCAGUGUUAAACACUUCUGCGGAAUAAAACAAUGAUGUCAACAAACAAAAUGGAGAAUAUCUUGAAUUCAACAACUGUGCACAGGAGAGAAGACUGUAUUUUUGGUUUGGAACACUGUCAAAAGGUGUUCACUAUUUUGGAAAAUGGCAGUGCCUGACAUCCCUGACAGAAGCGCUUCUCAUGGUGGUGUAGCCACAUGACACUUCUGUAUUAGCCUGGACUUACAGCUGUGGCUUUCAGUAGUGAUUCUACUUACAGUAAAAGGUAGGCUCUCUGUCUGUUGUGUGGACUAGCACAUCCCAAGCACCUACACAGGACCUGGAACAUAGAGGGCACCUGAGGUGGAAGAGUGGAAAUGGACUUGGGCUAAUUGCACAGCUGUGCAUAUGCCAUGCUCCCAAAAGCUGCACACCUGAGUAACAUAGAAUCUUGAGCUGUCUGGGUGAAAGACAUCAGUGAAUUCCAGGCCAGUAACAUCCCAGAGCUCUGGACCCCAACACCACCUCCUCCUCUAAAUAGCUUCUCAAUGUCACCUGAAGAGUCACAGGAGAGAACAGCAGUGUUUUAUCAUCAUUCGGUGGCUGGCUCUGUAAACUCUUUCUCUCUCUUAAUGAGUGAAGGCCAAAGGAAGGGAAGCUGGUGGA
This 878-nucleotide long non-coding RNA is filed under the name Homo sapiens (human). RNAcentral's name for it is "HSALNT0292428". The record is from RNAcentral. Lineage: Eukaryota; Metazoa; Chordata; Mammalia; Primates; Hominidae.